Molecule: ribosomal RNA, 908 nt
Filed under: Triticum aestivum (bread wheat)
Lineage: Eukaryota; Viridiplantae; Streptophyta; Magnoliopsida; Poales; Poaceae
Description: partial small subunit ribosomal RNA
Source: RNAcentral
GCGCUGACCGCGUUUUCGAACCGGGCAGACGGCCGCAUUUUGCAACGGGAUACAGAAUAGGAAAAGGGGGUGGCGGGUAAGAUGUAGGGUGGGUAGAGAGAGGAUCCCCGUGUGAGUCCUCUCGCUGGUAUGCCGCCACUACAGCCUCUCCUCCGUCCACCGCCGCCUCUGGUCCUUUCAUCAAGUGACAGAGCGUCGAGGUGACCCUGGUUGCAGCACCACAGCUCGCCGCUUCUGCUCGCCCGACACGGCAGAGGCUCCCGCCCGUCUCUUGAGCUGCUGCUCCCGCAGCUCGAACUCGGUCCGCUCGCCUCCGCCGCGAUGCACGCCGCCCGCCACUUGAGCCGCUGCUCUCGUAGCUCGAACUCAGUCCGCUCGCCUCCGCCGCGACGCGCGCCGCCCGCCGCUUGAGCCGCUGCUCCCGUACAUGCGGAGGCCGAACACGUGGUCGUCGACGAAACUUUCCUCCGCGCCCAGUUGCUUCGCGACCGCUCCCACCGGUUAAGUGUCCUAGCGUGCCUCUUCCAACCCCCAGACUUCCAAAUUCUACUACUCGAGCUGCAACGAUAGCAACCACCUCCGUACCACCCGAACCGACAAACGAACACAUCACACAUUCAUAACUAGGGAAGCACAUGAAGAGAAGGAAGCUAAUUUAACAAGUACUCCAGUCGAAUCACAAUGCGAAUCCGACUCUUAGCUAGGGUCGUAAUCAAUAUUUUUCCUUUGAACCGUGAUAACAUUAUUUCAAGAGCCUCUAAGAAGGUCGGUAAAAAUGAUCAAGUCAUACUUCAUAAUGAUUAUUAUAACCAUCUUACGAUCAACGUCUCCUCAAACCACCGACAUAUACCUUUGGGGGUGAUGUUAAAAAGGUAAAAAUAUACGAAAAUCGUUCUUGUUUUAAAUGG